GAUGAAGAACGUAGCGAAAUGCGAUACUUGGUGUGAAUUGCAGAAUCCCGUGAACCAUCGAGUCUUUGAACGCAAGUUGCGCCCGAAGCCACUAGGCCGAGGGCACGCCUGCCUGGGCGUCACACGUCGUUGCCCCCCCCCCAUCUACUCCUCCGGGAUUGCGGGGGGCGGAUGAUGGCCUCCCGUGCGCCUAGCCGCGCGGUUGGCAUAAAUACCAAGUCCUCGGCGACGCACGCCACGACAAUCGGUGGUUGCGAAACCUCGGUUGCCCGUCGUGUGCGUUCGUCGCGCAUCGAGGGCGCGAAAAAAUGCUCGGCUCCGGCUCGGCUUUCAACGCGACCCCAGGUCAGGCGGGGUUACCCGCUGAAUUUAAGCAUAUCAAUAAGCGGAGGA
This 393-nucleotide unclassified non-coding RNA is filed under the name soil metagenome. RNAcentral describes it as "partial contains 5.8S ribosomal RNA, internal transcribed spacer 2, and large subunit ribosomal RNA". The stretch from base 1 to 122 matches the Rfam family "5.8S ribosomal RNA", at positions 35 to 154 of the family's 154-position model. The record is from RNAcentral.